AGUGAACGCUGGCGGUAGGCCUAACACAUGCAAGUCGAACGGCAGCACAGUAAGAGCUUGCUCUUACGGGUGGCGAGUGGCGGACGGGUGAGGAAUACAUCGGAAUCUACUUUUUCGUGGGGGAUAACGUAGGGAAACUUACGCUAAUACCGCAUACGACCUACGGGUGAAAGCAGGGGAUCUUCGGACCUUGCGCGAUUGAAUGAGCCGAUGUCGGAUUAGCUAGUUGGCGGGGUAAAGGCCCACCAAGGCGACGAUCCGUAGCUGGUCUGAGAGGAUGAUCGUCCACACUGGAACUGAGACCCGGUCCAGACUCCUACGGGAGGCCGCAGUGGGGAAUAUUGGAGAAUGGGCGCAAGUCUGAUCCAGCCAUACCGCGUGGGUGAAGAAGGCCUUCGGGUUGUAAAGCCCUUUUGUUGGGAAAGAAAAGCAGCAGGUUAAUACCCAGCUGUUCUGACGGUACCCAAAGAAUAAGCACCGGCUAACUUCGUG
Molecule: ribosomal RNA, 492 nt
Filed under: uncultured bacterium
Lineage: Bacteria
Description: partial 16S ribosomal RNA
Rfam family: Bacterial small subunit ribosomal RNA
Source: RNAcentral